GAAUUGCGAUAAGUAAUGUGAAUUGCAUAAUUCUGUGAAUCAUUAAAUGUUUGAACGCACCUUGCGCUCUUCUGUUACGGAAGAGCAUGUGUGUUUGAGGGUGGCGCGUGUGUGCGUGUGCAAAUAACUAUGUAUUUGCAUGUGCGAGAUGCGGCGUCGCUUUGUUAUGAGGCGUGCCGUGAAAUGGACUGCUCGGCGUGUGCGUGUGCGUGAGUGAGCAGCAUGGCCAUUGCGUGUGCGUGUGUGUGCAGGGGGGCAUGUGAUUACGUGUUCUUUCUGUGUUCACGGACUGUGAUGCGUGCAAUCUUGCUGGAUGCGGCAUGGCGAGCAAAGGCGGGGCGUGCACUACGUGCAACAACCCACUUUAAGAAACCACCUCAAAUCACACAGGAUCACCCGC
Molecule: unclassified non-coding RNA, 400 nt
Filed under: uncultured fungus
Lineage: Eukaryota; Fungi
Description: sequence contains ITS1
Rfam family: 5.8S ribosomal RNA (bases 1-104)
Source: RNAcentral